UACGUAGGGUGCGAGCGUUAAUCGGAAUUACUGGGCGUAAAGCGUGCGCAGGCGGUUUUGUAAGCCAGAUGUGAAAUCCCCGGGCUUAACCUGGGAAUGGCAUUUGGGACUGCAAGGCUCGAGUGCGGCAGAGGAGACUGGAAUUCCUGGUGUAGCAGUGAAAUGCGUAGAUAUCAGGAGGAAUACCGAUGGCGAAGGCAGGUCUCUGGGCUGACACUGACGCUCAUGCACGAAAGCGUGGGGAGCAAACAGG
RNAcentral lists this ribosomal RNA (253 nucleotides) under uncultured bacterium. RNAcentral describes it as "partial 16S ribosomal RNA". It matches the Rfam family "Bacterial small subunit ribosomal RNA", at positions 524 to 776 of the family's 1533-position model. The record is from RNAcentral.